Molecule: long non-coding RNA, 1794 nt
Organism: Sorghum bicolor (sorghum)
Lineage: Eukaryota; Viridiplantae; Streptophyta; Magnoliopsida; Poales; Poaceae
Exons: 6
Source: RefSeq, a predicted model, not a curated record
GUCCUCCCCGGGCGGCGACGUUGCGGCAGCGUCCUUCGAGUAUCCGCGCGCCGAGCCCGUCGCCGGCAAUUGUACCCUCGAGGAGUAUCUUGGUUAACUAACAGAAAAUGAUAGAUUGGUCCAAGCUCUAUUUAGUCACAAGAUUCUUCCCAGAGGUGCAGCAUGCUGAUCAGCUGACUCCUAAUCAUCAAAAAGUGAUCUACACGGCCAUCUCGCUUUUCAUCUUUUUGACUGCCAGCCAUCUCCUAGUGUAUGGGACAAUCCCAGUCCAACUAGUCAACGUGCCUGAUCCAUCAUACUGGGGGCAUCCAUUUUUUGCACCAAAUGGUUCUCUUCUGGCACUUGGCAUCGGUCCCAUUCUACUAUCUGAAAUUGUCACACAGAUAUUGGUGACGUCAAAUGAUAUGAACGUGGACAGCAAUGCACCCGAGGCUCGUACACUUCUGAACAGGGUUCAAAAGUUGAUGGGGAUAUUGCUCACCGUCACAGGAGCUGUUACUCGUGUGUUAGGACUUUGUUCUGUUAGCAAACUUGACACUGGCAAUGCAGUCUUAAUACUUCUUCAAAUUAUUAUCUCUGGUAUCAUUGUCAUUUAUCUUGACGAUUUCCUAAAAAAGGGAUAUGGAUUGUUAUCUGGUAUCUCUUGUUCACAGCCGCCACUAUUUGGUAAGGGUUUGAAACUAGAGGCAUUGUGACAGAGUUAGUUUAUCCUUGUAAAAUAAUACUUCUCCCAUUUUCUUGUAUAGUGAAAAUGUAUUGUGGAAAGCCUUUAUUAGCCACAUGACAUCCAUUUAUCCUAAACAAGGCACUGAAUUUGAGGGAGCUGUUCCUGCUUUGGUUCACCUUCUGAUUACGAAGAGAGAUAAAUUUUUUGCAAUGCGUGAAGCAUUUUAUCGUCAAAACCUCCCAAAUGUUACCAGCUUACUAGCUACUUGCUUAUUUGUUCUAAUUGUCGUAUCCUUCCAAGGCCUGUCUUUUGUGUUGCCAGUCAGGACGCAUAUUCCUGGGUUUCAAGUUAACUACCUCAUCAAGAUCUCCACUAUAUACUUUGGACCUAUAAUUUUGCAUCGGUUGCUGGUGUCAUUUCUUUAUAAAAUCUCAAAGAUGUUUUACAUGAAAUACGGUGGAAAUAGACUAUUGAAUCUGCUCGGCACAUGGAAUAGAUCCAUCCAUUCCCGACAAUCGUUUUUAGUUGGUGGCAUUUUGUACUACAUAACAACACCCCCAACAUGAGUGCAUAUACUAUGUGGAAACUAUGCCUGGCUAAUCUUCACAUAGCCUCGUUUCAAGCAUUUAUAUAUGUUGCCUGUCUGCUUGGUGCUUGUGUGUAUCUCUCAGUAUUUUGGAUGAGACUUCGUGUGUCUUCAAAAAGAUUUUGGAAUGGCUUUAUCAAUGCAGAACAAAGAGUCAUUCCUGCCCAGCCUGACUCAAUAGCUCCGAACCAAUUCGUCAGUCAUAUUUUGAAGGCAGCUCGUCUCGGUGGUUUCUGUGUUGGUACAUUGAUAAUUUUGGGAGAUUUCAUUGGCGUGUUUGGUUCUGGGACUGGAAUUAUGCUAGCUGUGAGUGCUUUAUAUCCUUACUUUGAUGGUAGAGCUGGUGAAGUCGGCGCUUUCGGCUUCUGAUGGAUUCUCUUCUUCUUAGAACAGGGGACACAGUAAUAUUAAUCUCACUUAUCUUUCAAAAAAAAAAUAUUAACCUCACUUGUGGGGAAAAUUAUUGAAACAUCGUUUGGCUACUACCUACCAUUAUGAGCAUGAACGUUUGCUUUCUUUUCAAGUGUAAAUAGUCUGUACA